This 484-nucleotide ribosomal RNA is filed under the name uncultured bacterium. RNAcentral's name for it is "partial 16S ribosomal RNA". It matches the Rfam family "Bacterial small subunit ribosomal RNA", at positions 30 to 507 of the family's 1533-position model. The record is from RNAcentral.
AUUGAACGCUGGCGGAAUGCUUUACACAUGCAAGUCGAGCGGCAGCGCGGCCUUCGGGCUGGCGGCGAGCGGCGAACGGGUGAGUAAUGCAUCGGAACAUGCCCAGUCGUGGGGGAUAACACUUCGAAAGAAGUGCUAAUACCGCAUACGUCCUGAGGGGGUAAGCGGGGGAUCGCAAGACCUUGCGCGAUUGGAGUGGCCGAUGUCAGAUUAGCUAGUUGGUGGGGUAAAGGCCUACCAAGGCGACGAUCUGUAGCUGGUCUGAGAGGAUGAUCAGCCACACUGGGACUGAGACACGGCCCAGACUCCCACGGGAGGCAGCAGUGGGGAAUUUUGGACAAUGGGGGCAACCCUGAUCCAGCCAUUCCGCGUGAGUGAAGAAGGCCUUCGGGUUGUAAAGCUCUUUCGGUAGGAACGAAACGGUGGGCUCUAACAUAGUCCGCUAAUGACGGUACCUGAAGAAGAAGCACCGGCUAACUACGUG